GGGAUUGCCCCAGUAACGGCGAGUGAAGCGGCAACAGCUCAAAUUUGAAAUCUGGCCCCCCCCCCCCGGGGGGCCCGAUUUGUAUUUUGCAAAGGAUGCUUUGGGCGAGGCCCCUUCCGAGUUCCCGGGAACGGGACCCCCCAAAGGGGGAAAGCCCCGUCGGGUCGGACCCCAAGCCUCUGUAAAGCUCCUUCAACAAGUCAAGUAUUUGGGGAAGGCUGCUCAAAAGGGGAGGUAUAUGUCUUUUAAAGCUAAAUACCGGCCAAAAACCAAUAGCGCAAAAGUAAAGUGAUCAAAAAAUGAAAAGCCCCUUGAAAAGGGGGUUAAACAUUACUUGAAUUUGUUAAAAGGAAACCCCUCGUGACCAGACUUGGGGCGGGGGGAUCACCCGGGGUUCUCCCCGGCCCACUCCCCCCGUCCCAGGCCAGCAUCAUUUCGCGCCGGGGGACAAAGGCGGGGGGAACGUGGCUCCUCAGGGAGUGUUAUACCCCGCCGCGCCAUGCCCCGGGGGCGGAUUGAGGGCCGCCCAUCACUGCAAGGAUGCUGGCGUAAUGGUCACCAGCGACCCUCCUUGAACCACGGGCCAGGGAGUCUUCCUCGUAUGCAAGUGUCCGGGUGUCAAACCCCUACCCGAAAUGAAAUUGAACGUGGGUGAAAGUUUCGGCGCAUCAUCGACCGAUCCGGAUGUUCUCGAAUGAAUUUGAUUAGGACCAUACGGGGCCGAACCCGAAAGAAGGUGAACUAUGCCUGUGUAGGGGAACCCAGAGAAAACUCUGGUGGAGGCUCGCAGCGGUUCUGACAUGCAAUUCGAUCGUCAAACAUGGGCAUGGGGGCGAAAGAAUAAUCGAA
This 849-nucleotide ribosomal RNA is filed under the name Aschersonia sp. JZQ-2014a. RNAcentral's name for it is "partial 28S ribosomal RNA". It matches the Rfam family "Eukaryotic large subunit ribosomal RNA", at positions 71 to 939 of the family's 3401-position model. Lineage: Eukaryota; Fungi; Ascomycota; Sordariomycetes; Hypocreales; Clavicipitaceae. The record is from RNAcentral.